This 468-nucleotide ribosomal RNA is filed under the name uncultured bacterium. Its description in RNAcentral is "partial 16S ribosomal RNA". It matches the Rfam family "Bacterial small subunit ribosomal RNA", at positions 28 to 507 of the family's 1533-position model. The record is from RNAcentral.
GACGAACGCUGGCGGCGUGCUUAACACAUGCAAGUCGAACGGAAAGGCCCUGCUUUUGUGGGGUGCUCGAGUGGCGAACGGGUGAGUAACACGUGAGUAACCUGCCCUUGACUUUGGGAUAACUUCAGGAAACUGGGGCUAAUACCGGAUAGGAGCUCCUGCUGCAUGGUGGGGGUUGGAAAGUUUCGGCGGUUGGGGAUGGACUCGCGGCUUAUCAGCUUGUUGGUGGGGUAGUGGCUUACCAAGGCUUUGACGGGUAGCCGGCCUGAGAGGGUGACCGGCCACAUUGGGACUGAGAUACGGCCCGGACUCCUACGGGAGGCAGCAGUGGGGAAUAUUGCACAAUGGGCGGAGGCCUGAUGCAGCAACGCCGCGUGCGGGAUGACGGCCUUCGGGUUGUAAACCGCUUUCGCCUGUGACGAAGCGUGAGUGACGGUAAUGGGUAAAGAAGCACCGGCUAACUACGUG